RNAcentral lists this long non-coding RNA (1343 nucleotides) under Homo sapiens (human). RNAcentral's name for it is "HSALNT0300975". The record is from RNAcentral. Lineage: Eukaryota; Metazoa; Chordata; Mammalia; Primates; Hominidae.
CCGGAGUGUCCCGGCCUGCCUGGACUCCAGCCGGGACCUCCCACAUGAGGCUCAUUCAUCUAUGCCCAGGAUUCUCAAAGAACCCCGGCCCCAGCCUGCUCUCUGUCAUGUGCUGAGCCCCAAGCUUACCCAUGCCUCCUGCCGUGGGGACCAGAGAAUGAGAAGACCACCAGGGAGACCCGCCCUGGAGACCAUGGUGUGCUGCUGACUCACGAGAAUGACAUCACCAAGUGUGCCCUCUGUCCUGUCACUUGGAGCUCCUGGAAGCACAGAAUGUCCCUCAGCCUGGACACUGCCCCUGGCCUGGGGAGGUAGAUGCUCCCCACCUCCCCUCCUGCCCUAGUGCAGAGGAAAGAAGAUCAAAUCUGGAGUCAGCAGACAUAGGAGUCUAAUCCCUGGUUCUGAUAUAUCUAGGCAGUCAUUGCCUUAGCCACACUCAGCCUUAAUCUCCUGAUCUGCAAAAUGGGGAGAACCACACUAACUUUGCAGUUUGCGGUGAGAGUCAAGGAAACCCACGUGAGAAGUGUCUGGCACUGUGCCUCGCAUGUAGUAAGUACUCACUAAAUACUCGUUUACAGUUUUUUUCCCCUCCCUGUCUUAACCUUUUUUUCUCCAGUAAGUGACUGGGGACAGGAGUCCACUCUAAGAACCUCUGCCUGCCCUCAGAACUCCGUGGCCAGUGAGGGCUGCAUGACCCCUUUGUGCUGGGAAGGUGCAUCUCAGGACACUGACCUGCCUGUGCCCAGGCUCAUGGUGUGGGCAGAGAAACUGUGGGAGCCAUUUGACAAGCUCUUGUUGAACAAAUGCUACACAUGAACACAUGGGCUGUGUCCUGAAGGAGGAAGAUCCAUUUUACAGAUGAAGAAAGUGAAGCCAGGAAGACAGAUUAGUUAGCUCAGCCUCACACAAGCAGGCAGAGCUUGGGCCAAAGCCUGGGUCCUCUGCUCCCGGCCCAGGAUUCUCUGCUGGACACCAGGCAACCAGCCAAGCGUGCCUGUGCCCCUCUGCCCUUCUCCUGUUCCAGCCCCUCCAAGACUCUGAAGGCCUGACCUACUUCAGAUUCUCUCCCCAAAGGCUCGCUCUCACCUCUCUCCACAAGGGUUAGCGAUGCUGCCUUCCCAGGGUUCCCCUCCUGUUCUGGAGACGGGAGAGGGAGGCCUUGUUCCCUGCAAAGAAAGAACUGUCCAGGGUCGAUGCCAAGGGCAGGCAGGUUCUGGGGCUCUGGCUCUUUUGGGUUCCCAGAUCCCCCAGGUUGGUGCAGGAAGCCACUCAUCAGGUUGUACCUCCGCAGAGCACACCCCUGGGGGUGCCUGCCCCACCUCAACAGCCCCAGAGAAAGGGCC